CCGUAACGUACAGGGCUCGUUGCAUAUUUUAUUAACGUGUAUCGUGUUGUUGGAUCGCGGCCAUUGUGAAUCAGCUACUUCCAAGUAGUGGCACAGCCUUGGAAUUAAAUUUAGACGAUCGAAGCCCCGACGCGAAUAAAAUACCCUAAGUAUCCUCAAACGAGUUGCACGAAGAAGAGGAAGGGAGAGAAGAUCGGCAGUCCGCGAAGGUAUCGGAGGCCACCUUGCAGCACAUCCAUGUACUACAAACGCAAGAGCACUUAUUAUUUACUACAUUAAAGAGCUACAUAACGGUGUACCACAAGCAGGCAAAAAGUUCCUUUAUGUCUCUCAUCCCUUUAUUAGCAUACCCUGCCUUUAGAGUGGUACUUAAUAGCAGCAUCUAAUUCAUGUUUUCCACCUGUAUAGGUUAUAUGCGCUUCGUGUUAUUCGCCAUGAUUACCGUAUUACCUUUUGUGUGGUAAUAACGUGUAAACGAAGCAAUAUCGCCUAUAUUGUGAUAAUACAAUAGUAAAAA
RNAcentral lists this unclassified non-coding RNA (517 nucleotides) under Bombus terrestris (buff-tailed bumblebee). RNAcentral describes it as "misc RNA ENSBTSG00005023521.1". Lineage: Eukaryota; Metazoa; Arthropoda; Insecta; Hymenoptera; Apidae. The record is from RNAcentral.